Molecule: unclassified non-coding RNA, 18 nt
Filed under: Mus musculus (house mouse)
Lineage: Eukaryota; Metazoa; Chordata; Mammalia; Rodentia; Muridae
Description: oocyte_clustered_small_RNA11044
Source: RNAcentral
UGGAUGCUCCCAGUUAGG